AUUGAACGCUGGCGGCAUGCUUUACACAUGCAAGUCGAACGGCAGCGGGGAGGAGCUUGCUUCUCUGCCGGCGAGUGGCGCACGGGUGAGUAAUACAUCGGAACGUGUCGAGAAGAGGGGGAUAACCACCCGAAAGGGUGGCUAAUACCGCUUAAAUCUUGAGGAGGAAACUGGGGGACUUAGAAAUAGGCCUGGGGCUUUUUAACCGCCGAUGUCGGAUUAGCUAGUUGGUGAGGUAAAGGCUCACCAAGGCGAAGAUCUGUAGCGGGUCUGAGAGGAUGAUCCGCCACACUGGGACUGAGACACGGCCCAGACUCCUACGGGAGGCAGCAGUGGGGAAUUUUGGACAAUGGGGGCAACCCUGAUCCAGCCAUGCCGCGUGUAUGAAGAAGGCCUUAGGGUUGUAAAGUACUUUUGUUAGGGAAGAAAAGUCAGCUGUGAAUAAUGGCUGAUACUGACGGUACCUAAAGAAUAAGCACCGGCUAACUACGUG
This 493-nucleotide ribosomal RNA is filed under the name uncultured bacterium. RNAcentral describes it as "partial 16S ribosomal RNA". It matches the Rfam family "Bacterial small subunit ribosomal RNA", at positions 30 to 507 of the family's 1533-position model. The record is from RNAcentral.